UACGUAGGCAGCAAGCGUUGUUCGGAGUUACUGGGCGUAAAGGGUGUGUAGGCGGUCUUCUAAGUUUGGUGUGAAAUCUCCCGGCUCAACUGGGAGGGUGCGCCGAAAACUGGGAGGCUAGAGUGCGGGAUGGGAGAGUGGAAUUCCCGGUGUAGCGGUGAAAUGCGCAGAUAUCGGGAAGAACACCCGUGGCGAAGGCGGCUCUCUGGGACGGUACUGACGCUGAGACGGCGAAAGCGUGGGGAGCGAACAGG
This 254-nucleotide ribosomal RNA is filed under the name uncultured bacterium. RNAcentral describes it as "partial 16S ribosomal RNA". It matches the Rfam family "Bacterial small subunit ribosomal RNA", at positions 524 to 776 of the family's 1533-position model. The record is from RNAcentral.